This 1323-nucleotide long non-coding RNA is filed under the name Fragaria vesca (wild strawberry). Its description in RNAcentral is "long non-coding RNA (FVES_LNC000719)". The record is from RNAcentral. Lineage: Eukaryota; Viridiplantae; Streptophyta; Magnoliopsida; Rosales; Rosaceae.
UGUAAUUGAUGGAAGUAAAGAGGAUAGCUUAAGAUAUGCUUAUUCAAAAGAAACAGUAGCAAAUCACUGAACUUGAUAGCGGACUAUAAGGAUAUAUUGAGAUUAAUUACCAGGAGGCAAGUGAGCUCAUUAUCUAGUAGUGGUGAGGAGGAGGAGGUGAGGAGUAGAUGUAAGCCGGUGGAGUGUGAACGGGAGGAGUAGGAGGCUUGUAAGGCUUCGUUGGUGGUGGUGGUGGUGGUGGUGGUGACUUGUAGUGGUAUGGAAUGUGGGGUGGAGAGUAGACUGGAGGAGGAGGAGAAGGCGGUGGUGGAGACUUGUAGUGGUAAGGCGGUGACUUGGGAGGGUAGUGGGGGUGCUUAGGUGGUGAGUACACUGGUGGUGUUGGGGAUGGUGGUGGCUUAGGAGGGUAAUGGGGGUGCUUGGGUGGUGAGUACUUGGGUGGUGUUGGAGAGGGUGGUGACUUGGGAGGGUAGUGAGGAUGCUUGGGUGGUGAGUACACUGGUGGUGUUGGUGAGGGUGGUGACUUGGGAGGGUAAUGAGGGUGCUUGGGUGGUGAGUAGACCGGUGUCUUAGGUGGUGACUUGGGGGGGUAGUAGGGGUGGUGAGGUGGUGAGUAGACUGGCGUUGGUGGUGGAGGAGACUUGUAGUGGUAUGGCUUCUUUGGUGGUGGUGGUGAGUGAUGUGGGUGGUAGGGCUUCUUGUGUGGUGGCGGGGGUGGUGGAGACUUGUAGUGGUAAGGCUUCUUCGGUGGUGGUGGAGGUGGUGGAGACUUGUAGUGGUAUGGCUUCUUUGGUGGUGGUGGUGAGUGGUGUGGAUGGUAGGGCUUCUUGUGUGGUGGGGGUGGUGGAGGAGACUUGUAAUGGUAAGGGACCUUCGGUGGUGGCGGUGAUGGAGGAGGAGGAGACUUGUAGUGGUAAGGCACCUUAGGUGGUGGUGGUGAUGGAGGAGGAGGAGACUUGUAGUGGUAUGGCACCUUUGGUGGUGGUGGUGACGGAGGUGGUGGAGAUUUGUAGUGGUAGACAGGUGUCUUUGGUGGCGGGUACACCGGAGGCUUGGGAGGUGACUUGGGAGGGUAAUGUGGGUGCUUAGGAGGAGAGUACACCGGAGGCUUAGGUGGUGACUUUGGUGGGUAAUGGGGAUGCUUAGGCGGCGAGUACACCGGUGGUGUGGGUGAGGGUGGUGACUUUGGUGGGUAAUGAGGAUGCUUUGGUGGAGAGUACACCGGAGGCUUAGGCGGUGACUUGGGAGGAUAGUAAGGAUGAUGGGGUGGUGCGUAGUGCACUGGUGGCGGAGGCGGCGGUGGUGACUUGUAGUGGUAAGGAG